CACACACUGCUCUUACUUAUUCUUCAUCAAUGGCUUCUAAAAUCUCUCUUUCUGCCCUCUGGAACCUUCCAAUUUCCACUCAGAAAUCACAAUAUUCUCCUCAAUUCCCCCUCCUACAGCAGUUUCCUUCUUCUUCUAGGGUUUUCUCAUCGAAAUUGAAAUCGAAUUCUCACAGAUCUGUAUCAGUUUCAGCUGCUGUGACUGAAGAAUCGAAAACGUCUCCUCCGUCAUCA
RNAcentral lists this long non-coding RNA (233 nucleotides) under Nicotiana benthamiana. RNAcentral describes it as "long non-coding RNA (NBEN_LNC020254)". The record is from RNAcentral. Lineage: Eukaryota; Viridiplantae; Streptophyta; Magnoliopsida; Solanales; Solanaceae.